ACGGGGAGCAGCAGGCGCGAAAACUUUACAAUGCGGGAAACCGUGAUAAGGGGACACCGAGUGCCAGCAUCAUAUGCUGGCUGCCCAGGUGUGUAAAAUACACCUGUUAGCAAGGGCCGGGCAAGACCGGUGCCAGCCGCCGCGGUAACACCGGCGGCCCGAGUGGUGAUCGUGAUUAUUGGGUCUAAAGGGUCCGUAGCCGGUUUGGUCAGUCCUCCGGGAAAUCUGACAGCUCAACUGUUAGGCUUUCGGGGGAUACUGCCAGACUUGGAACCGGGAGAGGUAAGAGGUACUACAGGGGUAGGAGUGAAAUCUUGUAAUCCCUGUGGGACCACCUGUGGCGAAGGCGUCUUACCAGAACGGGUUCGACGGUGAGGGACGAAAGCUGGGGGCACGAACCGGAUUAUAUACCCGGGUAGUCCCAGCCGUAAACGAUGCUCGCUAGGUGUCAGGCAUGGCGCGACCGUGUCUGGUGCCGCAGGGAAGCCGUGAAGCGAGCCACCUGGGAAGUACGGCCGCAAGGCUGAAACUUAAAGGAAUUGGCGGGGGAGCAC
RNAcentral lists this ribosomal RNA (554 nucleotides) under uncultured archaeon. RNAcentral's name for it is "bacterial SSU rRNA". It matches the Rfam family "Archaeal small subunit ribosomal RNA", at positions 325 to 879 of the family's 1478-position model. The record is from RNAcentral.